UGCAGUCGACGGGCUCUUCGGAGCAAGUGGCGGACGGGUGAGUAACGCGUGAGAAUGUGCUUUGAGGAUGGGGAUAACAAUAGGAAACUAAUGCUAAGACCCAAUGUGCCUUAAGUGGUGAAAAAUGAAAAUUGCCUGAAGAGGAGCUCGCGGCUGAUUAGCUAGUUGGGGUGGUAAAAGCGCACCAAGGCGACGAUCAGUAGCUGGUCUGAGAGGAUGAGCAGCCACACUGGGACUGAGACACGGCCCAGACUCCUACGGGAGGCAGCAGUGGGGAAUUUUCCGCAAUGGGCGAAAGCCUGACGGAGCAAUACCGCGUGAGGGAGGAAGGCUCUUGGGUUGUAAACCUCAAAACUUAGGGAAGAAAAAAAUGACGGUACCUAAUUUAAGCAUCGGCUAACUCCGUGCCAGCAGCCGCGGUAAUACG
This 427-nucleotide ribosomal RNA is filed under the name uncultured bacterium. RNAcentral's name for it is "bacterial SSU rRNA". It matches the Rfam family "Bacterial small subunit ribosomal RNA", at positions 56 to 527 of the family's 1533-position model. The record is from RNAcentral.